CCACAUCACAUUGAAACACUGUUUCCUGUAUGAUCACCCAAGUUAAGCAAUGUUGAGCUUGGUCAGAACCUAGAUAGGUGACUGCUUGGGAAUACCAGGUGCUGUA
Non-coding RNA from Acanthosepion pharaonis, 106 nucleotides. NCBI's taxonomy places the organism in Eukaryota, Metazoa, Mollusca, Cephalopoda, Sepiida, Sepiidae. The record is from the annotation of a GenBank genome assembly.